RNAcentral lists this long non-coding RNA (242 nucleotides) under Elaeis guineensis (African oil palm). RNAcentral describes it as "long non-coding RNA (EGUI_LNC009252)". The record is from RNAcentral. Lineage: Eukaryota; Viridiplantae; Streptophyta; Magnoliopsida; Arecales; Arecaceae.
UCCUCCUAUGUUCCUCUUCAAGAUCUGAGAGGAUUUGAGAUAUACGAAAAAAAUCAGAUCAACUAUCAGGAGAUGACUUCAGCAAAGGAGCUAGCACCCUGAUGAAGUCAUAAGCCUCUGAUCGGAUCAAGAACUCUAUAUAGAUAUGUGUAGAGACUGGAUGCAUAUACAGCUCUGUAGAAAUAUCAUCAGAUUACCAUAAUCAUCAGCAAUGGAGAUCAUCGACCUACACAAAGGUAUAG